GCAUAUCAAUAAGCGGAGGAAAAGAAACCAACAGGGAUUGCCCUAGUAACGGCGAGUGAAGCGGCAACAGCUCAAAUUUGAAAUCUGGCGUAAGCCCGAGUUGUAAUUUGUAGAGGAUGCUUCUGGGUAGCGGCCGGUCUAAGUUCCUUGGAACAGGACGUCAUAGAGGGUGAGAAUCCCGUAUGUGACUGGCUUGCACCCUCCACGUAGCUCCUUCGACGAGUCGAGUUGUUUGGGAAUGCAGCUCUAAAUGGGAGGUAAAUUUCUUCUAAAGCUAAAUACCGGCCAGAGACCGAUAGCGCACAAGUAGAGUGAUCGAAAGAUGAAAAGCACUUUGGAAAGAGAGUUAAAAAGCACGUGAAAUUGUUGAAAGGGAAGCGCCCGCAACCAGACUUUGCGGCGGUGUUCGGCUGGUCUUCUGACCGGUUUACUCGCCGCCGUGAGGCCAUCAUCGUCUGGGACCGCUGGAUAAGACCUGAGGAAUGUAGCUCCCUUCGGGGUGUGUUAUAGCCUCUGGUGAUGCAGCGCGUCUCGGGCGAGGUCCGCGCUUCGGCAAGGAUGAUGGCGUAAUGGUUGUCGGCGGCCCGUCUUGAAACACGGACCAAGGAGUCUAACAUCUAUGCGAGUGUUCGGGUGUCAAACCCCUACGCGUAAUGAAAGUGAACGGAGGUGGGAACUUUUUGUGCACCAUCGACCGAUCCUGAUGUCCUCGGAUGGAUUUGAGUAAGAGCAUAGCUGUUGGGACCCGAAAGAUGGUGAACUAUGCCUGAAUAGGGUGAAGCCAGAGGAAACUCUGGUGGAGGCUCGCAGCGGUUCUGACGUGCAAAUCGAUCGUCAAAUUUGGGUAUAGGGGGCGAAAGACUAAUCGAACCAUCUAGUAGCUGGGUUCCUGCCGAAGUU
This 900-nucleotide ribosomal RNA is filed under the name Pseudocercospora indonesiana. RNAcentral's name for it is "LSU rRNA". It matches the Rfam family "Eukaryotic large subunit ribosomal RNA", at positions 38 to 968 of the family's 3401-position model. Lineage: Eukaryota; Fungi; Ascomycota; Dothideomycetes; Mycosphaerellales; Mycosphaerellaceae. The record is from RNAcentral.